RNAcentral lists this ribosomal RNA (1069 nucleotides) under Microsporidium sp. I. RNAcentral's name for it is "SSU rRNA". It matches the Rfam family "Microsporidia small subunit ribosomal RNA", at positions 78 to 1163 of the family's 1311-position model. Lineage: Eukaryota; Fungi; Microsporidia. The record is from RNAcentral.
GGCGAACGGCUCAGUAAUGUUGCGAUGAUUUGGUCUUUUUGGGAUAGAAUAACUACGGUAAGCUGUAGCUAAAAAUAAAGAAUAAGUCGCAACCCUAUCAGUUAGUUGGUAGUGUAAAGGACUACCAAGACAAUGACGGGUGACGGGAAAUUAGGGUUUUAUUCCGGAGAGGGAGCCUGAGAGAUGGCUCCCACGUCCAAGGACGGCAGCAGGCGCGAAAAUUGCCCACUCUUUUAAGAGGAGGCAGUUAUGAGACGUAUAAAUAGGAAAUAUUAUAAAAAGAUAUAAAAGAAUUGGAGGGCAAGUUUGGUGCCAGCAGCCGCGGUAAUACCGACUCCAAGAGUGUCUAUGGUGGAUGCUGCAGUUAAAAAGUCCGUAGUUUUAUAAAUGCAAUUAAAAAACGUAGAUAAAAUACGUUUAGUUUGUUAAGUAUAGCGAAACGGGUAGAGUGCAUAGUAUAGAUAGGCGAGAGAUGAAAUUACCAAGACCCUAUCUGGACUAACGGAGGCGAAAGCGAUGUACUUAAACGAAUUUAAGGAUCAAGGACGAAGGCUGGAGGAUCGAAAGUGAUUAGAUACCGCUGUAGUUCCAGCAGUAAACGAUGCCGACAAGUAAGAUACUGUGGAGUAUUUACUGGGAGAAAUUUUAGUUUUCGGGCUCUGGGGAUAGUACGCUCGCAAGGGUGAAACUUAAAGUGAAAUUGACGGAACUACACUACCAGGAGUGGAUUGUGCGGCUUAAUUUGACUCAACGCGGGAAAACUUACCAGAACCAAAUUUAGUAAAGAUUGAAAACAUGAACUAAGUAAAAGUGGUGCAUGGUCGUUGGAAAUUGAUGGGAUGACUUUCAGCUUAAAUGCUAUAAUUAGUGAGAUCUUUAUAGACAGGUAUUUAAUAAUACAGGAAGGAGAAGGCUAUAACAGAUCAGUGAUGCCCUUAGAUGAUCUGGGCUGCACGCGCAAUACAAUAAUUAAUAGAAAGGAAAGAUAAAUUUUUGAUUACGAGGGAUUAGUUUUUGUAAAUGAACUAUGAACGAGGAAUUCCUAGUAACGAUAAUUCAUUAAGUUAUG